UUUUUAACCUGAUAUAGCUCUCAUAUAAACAGAUCUCCCUAUUUGACUUCUUGAACGAUUCUUCUCUAAAUCGGUCUAUAACCUCAAAUAUAGCUCCCAUAUCAACCGAUCUCUCGCAACUUUUGCCACAACUUUUGUCUGAUUUGGCUGAAAUUUUUCAUGUGGUGUUCUGUAACAACUGUUGGUACAGUUGUUACCAAAUACGGCCCAAAUCAGUCUAUAGCCAGAUAUAGCUCCCAUGUAAACCGGUCUCUCGAUCAUCCUUGUUGGUUCUCAGAAGUUUUUAUUUUUGCUGGUUUCGCAGAAGUUUGAUACAUCACGUGUGUUAAGUAACUCCAACACAAAAUGAGCGCCCCAAAGAAACAAAAACUGUCAAAAUCCUCGCCCACAAUUUAUGAAAAAUUGGAAAUAAAUGCGUGCAAAAAAUAGUUUGUGUACUAAUUAUAUUUUGUUCAUUUUGCAAACGGAAGAAAAAGAUGAAGCACGGAAUAAUAUGAUUUUAGAGACCAUGACAAAUCACAAUUAAAUAAUCAGCAAUCUAUGGGGGGAACAGAAUAUCACCUUAAAUUCGAUUGUCAAAUCGUCCCUCAGUAUGUCCUCGGACUUCUUAUCAAAAUUCCCAAUAAAGACAGAAAAAAAUUUAAAGGCAAUGGAUGAUCUAAUUUAUGACGAAAAUAAAUUACCAAUUGUA
Molecule: long non-coding RNA, 691 nt
Organism: Stomoxys calcitrans (stable fly)
Lineage: Eukaryota; Metazoa; Arthropoda; Insecta; Diptera; Muscidae
Exons: 3
Source: RefSeq, a predicted model, not a curated record